GCCCGAGGACCCCUAAACUCUGUUUUUAGUGGAACUUCUGAGUAAAACAAACAAAUAAAUCAAAACUUUCAACAACGGAUCUCUUGGUUCUGGCAUCGAUGAAGAACGCAGCAAAAUGCGAUAAGUAAUGUGAAUUGCAGAAUUCAGUGAAUCAUCGAAUCUUUGAACGCACAUUGCGCCCGCCAGUAUUCUGGCGGGCAUGCCUGUUCGAGCGUCAUUUCAACCCUCAAGCUCAGCUUGGUGUUGGGACUCGCGGUAACCCGCGUUCCCCAAAUCGAUUGGCGGUCACGUCGAGCUUCCAUAGCGUAGUAAUCAUACACCUCGUUACUGGUAAUCGUCGCGGCCACGCCGUAAAACCCCAACUUCUGAAUGUUGACCUCGGAUCAGGUAGGAAUACCCGCUGAACUUAAGCAUAUCAAUAAGCGGAGGA
This 430-nucleotide ribosomal RNA is filed under the name uncultured fungus. RNAcentral's name for it is "eukaryotic LSU rRNA". The stretch from base 64 to 217 matches the Rfam family "5.8S ribosomal RNA". Lineage: Eukaryota; Fungi. The record is from RNAcentral.